UAUAGAGAACUGGUCCUCCGCGAAAGCUAUGUAGGUAGCCCCUCAUGUUUGACUCCCUGCGGGUAGAGCACUGUUUCGGUUAGGGACCAAGCCGAUGCAAACUAAGAAUACCCGCGUCGUUUAUGC
RNAcentral lists this ribosomal RNA (126 nucleotides) under Chlorarachnion reptans. RNAcentral's name for it is "partial Bacterial large subunit ribosomal RNA". Lineage: Eukaryota; Cercozoa; Chlorarachniophyceae. The record is from RNAcentral.